RNAcentral lists this ribosomal RNA (182 nucleotides) under uncultured bacterium. RNAcentral describes it as "partial 16S ribosomal RNA". It matches the Rfam family "Bacterial small subunit ribosomal RNA", at positions 1318 to 1500 of the family's 1533-position model. The record is from RNAcentral.
GCGUGAAGUUGGAAUCGCUAGUAAUCGCGGAUCAGCAUGCCGCGGUGAAUACGUUCCCGGGCCUUGUACACACCGCCCGUCACACCAUGAGAGUCGGGAACACCCGAAGUCCGUAGCCUAACCGCAAGGGGGCGCGGCCGAAGGUGGGUUCGAUAAUUGGGGUGAAGUCGUAACAAGGUAAC